Molecule: ribosomal RNA, 1108 nt
Filed under: Paenibacillus sp. BE507
Lineage: Bacteria; Bacillati; Bacillota; Bacilli; Caryophanales; Paenibacillaceae
Description: bacterial SSU rRNA
Rfam family: Bacterial small subunit ribosomal RNA
Source: RNAcentral
CAGUAGGGAAUCUUCCGCAAUGGGCGAAAGCCUGACGGAGCAAUGCCGCGUGAGUGAUGAAGGUUUUCGGAUCGUAAAGCUCUGUUGCCAGGGAAGAACGCUUGGGAGAGUAACUGCUCUCAAGGUGACGGUACCUGAGAAGAAAGCCCCGGCUAACUACGUGCCAGCAGCCGCGGUAAUACGUAGGGGGCAAGCGUUGUCCGGAAUUAUUGGGCGUAAAGCGCGCGCAGGCGGUCAUUUAAGUCUGGUGUUUAAUCCCGGGGCUCAACCCCGGAUCGCACUGGAAACUGGGUGACUUGAGUGCAGAAGAGGAGAGUGGAAUUCCACGUGUAGCGGUGAAAUGCGUAGAUAUGUGGAGGAACACCAGUGGCGAAGGCGACUCUCUGGGCUGUAACUGACGCUGAGGCGCGAAAGCGUGGGGAGCAAACAGGAUUAGAUACCCUGGUAGUCCACGCCGUAAACGAUGAGUGCUAGGUGUUAGGGGUUUCGAUACCCUUGGUGCCGAAGUUAACACAUUAAGCACUCCGCCUGGGGAGUACGGUCGCAAGACUGUAACUCAAAGGAAUUGACGGGGACCCGCACAAGCAGUGGAGUAUGUGGUUUAAUUCGAAGCAACGCGAAGAACCUUACCAGGUCUUGACAUCCCUCUGAUCGGUACAGAGAUGUAUCUUUCCUUCGGGACAGAGGAGACAGGUGGUGCAUGGUUGUCGUCAGCUCGUGUCGUGAGAUGUUGGGUUAAGUCCCGCAACGAGCGCAACCCUUGAUCUUAGUUGCCAGCAUUUCGGAUGGGCACUCUAAGGUGACUGCCGGUGACAAACCGGAGGAAGGUGGGGAUGACGUCAAAUCAUCAUGCCCCUUAUGACCUGGGCUACACACGUACUACAAUGGCCGGUACAACGGGCUGUGAAGCCGCGAGGUGGAACGAAUCCUAAAAAGCCGGUCUCAGUUCGGAUUGCAGGCUGCAACUCGCCUGCAUGAAGUCGGAAUUGCUAGUAAUCGCGGAUCAGCAUGCCGCGGUGAAUACGUUCCCGGGUCUUGUACACACCGCCCGUCACACCACGAGAGUUUAUAACACCCGAAGUCGGUGGGGUAACCGCAAGGAGCCAGC